This 253-nucleotide ribosomal RNA is filed under the name uncultured bacterium. Its description in RNAcentral is "partial 16S ribosomal RNA". It matches the Rfam family "Bacterial small subunit ribosomal RNA", at positions 524 to 776 of the family's 1533-position model. The record is from RNAcentral.
UACGUAGGGGGCAAGCGUUGUCCGGAUUUAUUGGGCGUAAAGAGCGUGUAGGCGGCCUUACAGGUCAGCUGUGAAAACUCGAGGCUCAACCUCGAGACGUCGGUUGAAACCGUAUGGCUAGAGUCCGGAAGAGGAGAGUGGAAUUCCUGGUGUAGCGGUGAAAUGCGCAGAUAUCAGGAAGAACACCCGUGGCGAAGGCGGCUCUCUGGGACGGUACUGACGCUGAGACGCGAAAGCGUGGGGAGCGAACAGG